AAGGGGAGGGAUGGAAGGUAGAGAGACAGAGAGAGAGGAAGGUGAGGGAUGGAAGGUAGAGAGAGGAAGGUGAGGGAUGGAAGGUAGAGAGAGGAAGGUGAGGGAUGGAAGGUAGAGAGAGGAAGGUGAGGGAUGGAAGGUAGAGAGACAGAGAGAGAGGAAGGUGAGGGAUGGAAGGUAGAGAGACAGAGAGAGAGGAAGGUGAGGGAUGGAAGGUAGAGACAGAGAGAGAGGAAGGUGAGGGAUGGAAGGUAGAGAGACAGAGAGAGAGGAAGGUGGGGGAUGGAAGGUAGAGAGAGGAAGGUGAGGGAUGGAAGGUAGAGACAGAGAGAGGAAGGUGAGGGAUAGAAGGUAGAGAGACAGAGAGAGGAAGGUGAGGGGUGGAAGGUAGAGAGGAAAAGGGAG
Molecule: long non-coding RNA, 405 nt
Organism: Oncorhynchus tshawytscha (Chinook salmon)
Lineage: Eukaryota; Metazoa; Chordata; Actinopteri; Salmoniformes; Salmonidae
Source: Ensembl